This 261-nucleotide ribosomal RNA is filed under the name Amanita esculenta. Its description in RNAcentral is "partial 28S ribosomal RNA". It matches the Rfam family "Eukaryotic large subunit ribosomal RNA", at positions 11 to 258 of the family's 3401-position model. The record is from RNAcentral. Lineage: Eukaryota; Fungi; Basidiomycota; Agaricomycetes; Agaricales; Amanitaceae.
UCAGGUAGGACUACCCGCUGAACUUAAGCAUAUCAAUAAGCGGAGGAAAAGAAACUAACAAGGAUUCCCCUAGUAACUGCGAGUGAAGCGGGAAAAGCUCAAAUUUAAAAUCUGGCAGUCUUUGGCUGUCCGAGUUGUAAUCUAGAGAAGUGUUGCCCACACUGGGACCGGUACAAGUCUUCUGGGAAUGAAGCGUCAUAGAAGGGUGGAGAAUCCCGUCUUUGACAUGGACUCCCAAGUGGUAUUUGGUGGCGGGCUCUC